RNAcentral lists this ribosomal RNA (302 nucleotides) under uncultured fungus. RNAcentral's name for it is "SSU rRNA". It matches the Rfam family "Eukaryotic small subunit ribosomal RNA", at positions 47 to 352 of the family's 1831-position model. Lineage: Eukaryota; Fungi. The record is from RNAcentral.
AGCCAUGCAUGUCCAAGUAUAAGCAACCUAUACCGUGAAACUGCGAAUGGCUCAUUAAAUCAGUUAUCGUUUAUUUGAUAGUACCUUGCUACAUGGAUAACCGUGGUAAUUCUAGAGCUAAUACAUGCUGAAGGCCCCGACUCCGGGAGGGGUGUGUUUAUUAGACGAAAAACCAACGCCCUUCGGGGCUUGCUGGUGAAUCAUGAUAACCGCACGAAUCGCAUGGCCUUGCGCCGGCGAUGGUUCAUUCAAAUUUCUGCCCUAUCAACUUUCGAUGGUUUGGUCUUGGCUAACCAUGGUCG